Molecule: ribosomal RNA, 914 nt
Filed under: Microbacterium sp. 'Microbac. M1a'
Lineage: Bacteria; Bacillati; Actinomycetota; Actinomycetes; Micrococcales; Microbacteriaceae
Description: bacterial SSU rRNA
Rfam family: Bacterial small subunit ribosomal RNA (bases 258-914)
Source: RNAcentral
CACGCCAGUGAUCCUAUGACCAUUUUCUUUCCUUUUAACACUCCAUGUUCAUUUUGUUCAUAAAANGGUUACUAACAGGUCUCGUAUAAUUAACUUUAUAUUUGUUAUAUAUAGUAGUCGAUUCNAAAUCUAUAAAUUACUGUCCUUAAGCACUAAUAUACUGUAGNUUUGUUGACCUAUGUGUCUCAAUACCCCACCCCAGAAGGUCAGUGAGGCACAAUGAGGACUAGCGGAGAGGGCGGGUGCAUCCGAGAGAAUGAGGGGAAAGGAAGGACGCAGUGNUGGAAUAGCGCGUAAGUAUCUGUAGCUUGUANAAUCUCGUGUGGUUCCACGNCGCUGGUGGACGGGUGCCUCUCNUUGNAAUAUGAAAAUACACUCAAUUCACACAGUGUCUCCUGACCUAAUAAGUCUAUUUUUAAGGUAACGAUCACACAAGCUAUAUACAAGGAAGCCGGCCUGAGAGGGUGGCUGGCCACAAUGAGUGUGAGACUAGGCCCAGUCUCUUACGUGAGGCAGCAGUGGGGAAUAUUGCACAAUGGGCGCAAGCCUGAUGCAGCAACGCCGCGUGAGGGACGACGGCCUUCGGGUUGUAAACCUCUUUUAGCAGGGAAGAAGCGAAAGUGACGGUACCUGCAGAAAAAGCACCGGCUAACUACGUGCCAGCAGCCGCGGUAAUACGUAGGGUGCAAGCGUUAUCCGGAAUUAUUGGGCGUAAAGAGCUCGUAGGCGGUUUGUCGCGUCUGCUGUGAAAACUGGAGGCUCAACCUCCAGCCUGCAGUGGGUACGGGCAGACUAGAGUGCGGUAGGGGAGAUUGGAAUUCCUGGUGUAGCGGUGGAAUGCGCAGAUAUCAGGAGGAACACCGAUGGCGAAGGCAGAUCUCUGGGCCGUAACUGACGCUGAGGAGCGAAAGGGU